GAACGACGCUGGCGGCAUGCCUAACACAUGCAAGUCGAACGAGACCUUCGGGUCUAGUGGCGCACGGGUGCGUAACGCGUGGGAAUCUGCCCUUAGGUUCGGAAUAACUUCGGGAAACUGAAGCUAAUACCGGAUGAUGACGUAAGUCCAAAGAUUUAUCGCCUAAGGAUGAGCCCGCGUUGGAUUAGCUAGUUGGUGGGUAAAGGCCUACCAAGGCGACGAUCCAUAGCUGGUCUGAGAGGAUGAUCAGCCACACUGGGACUGAGACACGGCCCAGACUCCUACGGGAGGCAGCAGUGGGGAAUAUUGGACAAUGGGCGAAAGCCUGAUCCAGCAAUGCCGCGUGAGUGAUGAAGGCCUUAGGGUUGUAAAGCUCUUUACCCGAGAUGAUAAUGACAGUAUCGGGAGAAUAAGCUCCGGCUAACUCCGUG
This 431-nucleotide ribosomal RNA is filed under the name uncultured bacterium. RNAcentral's name for it is "bacterial SSU rRNA". It matches the Rfam family "Bacterial small subunit ribosomal RNA", at positions 32 to 507 of the family's 1533-position model. The record is from RNAcentral.